CAAAUUCAGAAUUACUUUUAUAAUCUUUAGCAUUUUCUUAAGUGAAACAAUAUAGCUACCCUGGGAUGUGGAUACAUUUUAUUUUAAUAAAGUAUGCAGGGGUCCUCUGAAAACGAGAGUGCCUAGAUCCUACACAGGCUUAAAAUUGGCCCUUGCUGUAGGAACCCCAGAAGGAUAAUUCCUCCCUUCCUCCAGGGAAAGAUUCCAAAGAAGGUAAAGCUGGAACUGCAUGUUGAGUACAAAGUAAGCAUGGUGACAUGUCACGAAUUUCACAACCAAAGAGAGUUCCGAAACCACAUAGUCAAGUUUAUCCAUGUAUCUGCCAAUUGGUCAGGCCCUUCUUACUUAAUAGGAUGUAGCUCAAUGCUGCAUGUCAGUGGCAACUCAUGACAACUCUUUGAUUGCUAAUAAGUAGGAUUGGUCAAAUGUAGGGCCAUUUAAUCGCCUUCCAAUUGUUUUGUGAUUCUAUUUUGCAAAGAUGCUAAUUCCCUGUGACUCAGUUGAGGGCAAAAAGAGCAGAGACCAACAGAACACCUGAGUGGAAAAGCAGGUAGCACAAUAUAAACAGAAGAGCAUACUCCCCAGAGCAGACAAGAUUCGACUCCCAGAGAUGCUGGUGGGAGGCUGCUUCAGGCAAUACUUUUCCUUUAGUUAUUCUUGUUCUUUCACGGGGCUCUGGAGGGAAACAGAAUGGGAACUGGGAGGAGGAUGUCACAAUCCCACUUUUGGUUUUCCUUAAGAGUCAGAGAAAUCUUGACACGUUAAGUUUGUCUGGAUAGGAUUUUAGAAGAUUCACUUUCAAUCUGAAAGCUUAGAGGAAUCGUGGCUUUACCUCUGGGAAUCACAGUUCUGUGCAAGGCAGCAGAAGCCAUCCAUUCUUCCUCUGGAUUGGUUGGAUCCCUCUAAGUGUUAGUUAUCAUGAUCAAACUGAAACUGGACCUGGACAUAGGGUAAGGAGGCCCAAAGUUAGAUCCCUAUAUGGCCCAAUUGUGAAUCUGAUUUAACAGUAAAUAUCAAUAUUAUUAUUUGUCCAUAUGUGCUCAGUUAUUUAUCCAUCCCUUCUUUCUUAUAAUAAAGGAAGCUAAAGAAAUAGCUCCUAUUGAAUGUUUACUAUGUAUUACAUUAUUGGCUAGGCGGUUCCUGUUACAUUUCUAUCCUUUAAUCUCUACCUCAUUUUACAAAGUGGGUCUUAUUGGCCUAUUUUAGAAUUGAGGAAACUGAAGCUCAGAGAGGUGACAGGAACAGCCUAAGGUUACAGAAUUGUGAGUGGCAGAGCCAAGAUUCAAAACUAGGUUUAUUUAAUUCCUAAGAAUUUACUCUUUUUCACAGCAUGAAAUAUUGGUCUUGAAUAUUUUUAUUGUCUCUCCUCUGUUCCCCCACAUGAAGUUAAAAUAAGUUGUGUUCUAAGAAUGUGUCAAGUUUUGUUUUAGAUGCUGGCAAUACAGAGAGAACUGUCCCUUUGGGCAGAGUCUUUGCUCUGCAGGAACUUACGCUCUAUUCGGGAAGGUAACACAGGAACAGCUGACUUUACUGCCAGGUAGAGAGAGCUCCUCCAGUGAGCUGCCUGCCUGAGUGCUUGGGGAGGACAGAGAAAGAAGCGACCGGAUUUGACUGAGGGGCUUAGGAGGCCUUCAUGGUAAAAUGGUAUUUUGAGUUGUACGUUAAAGGAAUACUGAGGUUCUGUUAAGCAGAGAAUAGCUAGGAAGGAACUUCUGGGCAGAGGGCUCAGGAGAAGCAGGGGCAGGGCGGCUGCAACCUGUUGCAUACAUUGGAGACGCGUUUUUCAGGAUGAAUUUUUCAAUACAUCGGGUUUUGGAUGGACCUCAUGGCAGAGGGUCUGCGGGGAGGUUUGCAGGCAGGUUCGGGGUGUGACUUCCUUCUGUCAGGGCAGGGAGGGAGUGAGGGACUUGCUCAGAACCACUCACCUCACCAGAUACCUGUUCAAAGUGUUCUGAGCCUUGGGUGACAGUGGGGCUGUAGGUGAGAGGGUGGCCAGCCUUCUAGCCUCCAUCUCUAUGAUCAGGAAAAUAAUUCUAAAAGUUUCCUUUAUGGGCAACCAGAAGGGCCACCUUUGUCUGCACACCAAGGUCAAGCUUUGCUAUGGUGCCAAGAGUAAUUUACUCUGAGCUUCCUACCUCAGCCUGCCCCUCUGUGCGGGAUUCAUAGUUCCUCAUAAUUCCUCAGUGCCAGACCCUGUCUAGGUGCUGGGCUUCACUGAGAAAUGAGGCAGACAGUUUGCUUGCAUUCUACAGAGAGAUUCUGACAAUAAAAGGAUAAGCCAAUGAAGAUGAAAUUGUGGUUGGUAGAAAGUGCUAGGAAGACGAUAAAAUAUGGCGAUGUGCCAGAGAGAAUAAGAGGAGUGGGAUGUUUAGGGAAAGCUCGUCUGAGUGGUGGUCAAGAGAAUAUUAAUGUGUAUAUUUAAUUUAAUUUGGUAAUGCAGGUACUCCACAUAAAUUUUAAAAUAUUCUAAAGUAUGUAAAUAUAGCAAAAGAGAGUCUCUCUUCCACUCCUAGUCUCCGGACACAUAUUUGAUUUUUCAGAGACAAAAACUGAAAUUGGUUCCUUGUAUAUUUUUUCAGAGAUACUCUAUGCAUAUACAAUUCUCUGUGUGUAUGUGUGAGUGUAAAACACCAAUGAGAGCAUCUUAAAUAUAAUGCCUGACAUAUUAUCAUUUUCACUUUACAGUACUUCUUGGAGAACUUUCUAUAUCAGUAAAUAUAGUUCCCUCACUUACUUUUAGCUGGUUUCACAAUAUCCCAUUGUAUAAAUAUACAGAUCCACAGCACUUACCUCUAGCUCCCAAAUCCCCAAAGCUCUGAAAACUCGAUUUUACCCCAAAUUUUGACACCCAAACUUGUCAAGCAGCAAAACUGACUUGAACUGAUAUGUAAAUAUUUAUGGUUUUUGGUAAUCCCAUUGAGUGUUCAUGGCAUAUGCUUCAGAAGUAUGAAUGUAUUUGAUUGCAGGGUGCUGCCCAGGGUCUGCUGGGAAUGGGGUGACUAUGAUACAUGGGCUGUAUUACUUAGCUAAAAUAAAAGAGAAAAAUCUGCCUUCUGAAACAAAACUGGCCUCAAGGGUUCUGGAUAAGAUACUGUGGACCUUUAUUGUGUUUUACUUAACAUGCCCUCUAUUGACUGAUAUUUCAGCAUUUAUUCUUACAAAUAAUGCUAAUACAUACAUGAGUCCAUGCCUGUGUGGACUAUCUGUAAGGUAAAUUCUUCAAAGAGGGAUUCCAUAGGUCUAAGUGUUUGUAUAUUUGUACUUUUGCUCAAUUUUGCCACACUGCUCUUAUGCUCCUGCCACCAUUGUUUAAGAGUAUUAAUUUUCUCUGUCUGCUUUUCAUGCCUACAAAAUGCAAUCAACUCUCAGUCAUUCAGUGGUUCAUUAGCUGGAACUCUCUAGCUGCCACACGUUCCUGAUUUGAUGAAACUUGCGGAUGAUGAGAACCACAGGGUUUAAUGACAAGAGAAGAGAAAGUGGUACUGAGCCCUGUUUGGAUGUCAGCAGCCUCAUUCUCAGAAAAUCUGCAGCCAAGAUAUGCUAGAUGAGGUUUAAUGAUGAAAUCAUGUGACUGAUCCUUUAAUCAAUGUGCCAGAUAUUAGGCACUAAUAACAUUGUGGGUUGUAAGGUUUGUCUGAAGUGAAAUGAUUGCAUCAUUUAUUGUUUUAGCAACUACAAGGUCAGCCUUGGUGAACUGGGAUCAUUGAAUGAGAAAAGACGUCCUUGCCUAUCUAGAAACAAAACUUGCUGUAGAAGGAACACAGUGUGAAGAAAGGAUCUGGGUUUAAAUCCUGGCUUUGCUGCCUUGUAACUGUGUGAAUUUUCCAUGUCACUUGACUGUCCAGAGAUUUGGUUUUCUCACCUGUUUAAUAAGAAUAAUAAUAUCUGAUUUUCAUUGUUAUGAUUAUCAUUAGGAUUAAGUAAGAUGAAUGCAUUUAACAUACUUGGCACAUAGUAGGUACUCAUUAAAUGGCUGGUUUUGAUUUUGAAAUUUUGAGCCAAGUGGCUUCUACGUGCCUGUUAAUUUUAAAAUCUCAUAAUAAAAUCACUACAUUAGAUCUGUCAGAAAGAUUGAUUUGAACAGGCAUUGGUAUGAAGGAGUGAGCAUUGAGGAAAGAAAACACUAGGAGAGCCAGGGUACAAAGCAUGGCAGCCAAUUGGUCUGAUCAUCUAGGAAAAGACAGUAAGUGGUGUUGUCUGAAGGUGGUCAGGCUUGCAGUUAGGGCUCUCAGCAGGGGUGUGUCUAAACAGGACAAAGCAUACAGUCUUGGAGAGGAGGAGAAACAAAGGGGACUUUCUUAGGCAAGCCACUUCUGAUGGGCACAUCUGAGAUGUGGGGAUACUUAUAGCUGUCCUAGCACUUCCCAUUAUUUCUACCUAUGACUUUUAAAUAAAUAAGUAUAAAGCAGGGAUUAUUCUCUCAACCACCCCAUUCUUCAUAAUGUUAGACAUUGAAACUAAAUUUAUAUUAAAUGACUGGAUGCUCCACUCUCACCCCCAAUUCCUGAGUUAUCAAGUUUGUGUUCUUCAAGAAACCAAGGGUUUCUUUAUCUUGAGUACAUUUGCAGAUUCCUUGCACUAUAACUGAAGGGAAAUGACAUCUAUAGAUGUAUCCUUUAACUGGGCGCCGUAGAAUGCAGUGGCCAAACAUGCCUUGAGUAGAGCUCAGCUGACAAGAGUCAAAUCCCACCUCUGCCACUCACUAGUGCUGUGACUUUGGGCAAGUUACACAAACUCUCUAUCCCUCCAUUUACUGCUCUGUACAAUGAGAGUGAUAAUACAAAAUCAGCUUCAAGGGGUUGUUAUGAGGAUUAAAUGAAAAACAGAACAAAACAAACCAUAUGACAUACUUAGAAUACUGUCUAGCACAUAGUAAGACUUCAGUAAAUGUUAGAUAAUGUUAUUCAUUCCCAAUGAAUGCUUACUAUCUAUCAGGAUUGUGCUAGAAAAUGAGAUUCAAGGGGUGGGGGCAGUGUUGGGUUCUGUGAUUGGGUCCAUAACUAGCACUCCUCUCUGCUGCCUGAGUUUUGAAACAAUUGAGAAACAAGUAAGAGAAUCAGCAGAUGGAGAGCAAAAAUGUUAGAUUUAUUACUGAUAAAGUCUACACAGAAGAACACAUUUUAGAUUGACAGUGGGCUUGCUAACUCCCAAUGCUCUGUCCAGGCCUUGGUAUAGCAUGCUCUGGUAAAGUUUGUGUCUAGAUUCCCUAAUUUAGAUCACUCUGCUCACUGGUGCAAAUGAGGAAAGGAAGAGAGAGACCAAAUCUCUGGGACUUGGAGUCUUUGUAGAUUAGCUCCACUCAAUGGACUGAUGACUACUGCCAUCAACCAGGUAAAUGACAAUACCUCAGAAAGAAGUAAAGGUGGAGCAAGAGACCAGAGCGUGGAGAAGAGGUCUUCUUGUCUGCUCGAUAAGUUGAAACAGUCUCUGUUAAAUCAUGUGAAAUCAAGGACAGGAAGUCUGCUAUAUCCUCACAAAACAAUGAGAAAUGUCAAAUGAUACAUCAACUCUAUAAAGAAUUUUUAUAACCAUGGAUUCAAGUUUUCUUCACAAUGAUCCCAUAAACCAAAUGGACAGAAAGAAAACUAUCGUUAAUUGAGUGUUCACAAUUUAUCAGGCAAUCAGUGAGUGCUUUAUGUGCAUUCUCUCUGGUUGCCUGACCUGCUCAAGGUCAAGGAAGUUGGAGUUGGGAAUGUUCCACACCUGACUACAGUCACAAGAGGAGAGAGUGGGGUGCUCAUAGCAAAACAACACCCCACAUGACUCUACAUUUUUAUACAUGGUCUCUCAAAGAUAAUUAUCAUAGUUCACAUUUGUUUGGUGCUAAAAAAAAGAGAAUAGAGUUUUAUACAACUUCAUUAGAAACAUUAAAUCCUUCGAUCCUUAGGACAAUGCUUUGAAAGAGAUUCAAUAGUUCAAUGUAUAUUUUUUUGAGUGCCCACUAGGUAUGGGGAACAGGAAUUGGCCCUUGGACUAUAAUGACAAGAAAAAACAGACAUGAUCCCUUACUUCAGGGGAACUUUCAGUCUUGAUGUAGGAGAGAGAUGACAUCAAGUAGCCACUGUGAUGAAUGUAAAAGGGCAACUUGUAUGGGUUUAUGAGGGCCAAGAGACAUGUCUAGGAAACUAUGGUAUGGAAGUAUUGGGGAGAGCAUUCCAGGCUGAAAGGAUAGUGUGUGCUAAAGUCCUGUGGCUGGAGUCAGAGGGCAUGCUUGAGGAAAGCCAGUGUGGCUGAAAGUGCAGAGGAAAGAAAGGUAGCAGAUGCAGUUACUGUCCAUCCCCAUUUUACAGAUGAAGAAACAACUCCAGAGCAAGGCAUGUCUUACCAAUAUCACCAUGAGGAAGUGGAGGAGCAUUACCUCAAAGCUUAUGAUUAACUGUCAAACUAUCACACUGAUGUCUUCUCGUCAUGCUAAUCCUGUUGUUGGGAGAAGAAAAAGCUGGCAGGUGUGCUAUUGCUUAUCCACACUGGGAAAGACAGAAGAAAGCGUACAGAGAAACAAAUAACCAAGAGAAAAAAGUUGGAUCUUCAACCAGUGGGCAAGAGAAUUCCAGGAAGAGACAUCAUAUUGUGCAAAGAUGAGGAAACUUUAGUCAAAAAUAUUGGAUACCCAGCUCAAGGUCCCACAACGAACAAGGGACUGAGAAAAUUCCAAAGAGAGGUGCUGUCUACUGCUUCUCUGAACGGUAUUGAAAUGCUUCAUCCGGAUCAGGCGCACAGGCCCUGUGCGCAGCUACUGCUUCUUCCCAGCAGGACUGCCUGUCUCUGGGGAGCUCUCAGACUUCUGAAAUGUGUUCUGGGUGUCCUGUGUAAAUGGUGUGAGCUGGAAAGCUGUUACUUAAACUUGGGAGGCUUAGCUGAAGCAGAGGACGAAUGAAUCAGGGGUGAUAUGCUUUGGGGGCAUUUCAGCAUGCUUUGUUUUUCAAUUCUGGUGACUAUUUUUCUAGGACCACAAUGACCUGCUCUUACCUGACAAGCCAACUAUAUUUCCUUUCUCUCCUGGGAUGUGGUUAUCAGAAAGAUAGAUCAGAGUCAAUAGAUAGAUUUAGUCCAGCUUUGAGGAUUUUGCUCAUCAAGUAUCAUGCAUAGAGGUGAUGUGACAAUUAGGGCACAUGGAUGAGAGCUCUCUUUUUCAAAGGAAGUCGCUGCCUUUCUGGCACUGGUACAAGCAUACCUUUAUGCUUCUCUCUGCCAGGAUGGCCAGUUCUUGCAGUUAAAAAUUCCAAACACAAAGGUCUCUUAAUCCAAUGGUAAAAAGAAAAAAAAAAUCACAAACUAUGCAGAAUUUGCUGGAUUUGAGGAGGAUAAAAGGAGAUCUCCAUUGGAUGUAUAGUAUGUUUGACAGUUGGAUUGAAAUUUGAAGAUAUGAUGAAAGUACAGAAUAAGAAUAAAAAAAUAAUUAGAAGCUCCACAGAAAGCAAAAUAGUCUAUAAGAAUGUAAUGAUCCUCCCCAAACAAAUUAAUCUGGUAAAAAUCUGUAGAUUUCAAGACAUGAAUUUCACACAAUAGAUAGAAAAUAGGCAAAAUGGAAAAGAAAUUAUCACACAUAUAACCUGUGCAAAUAGAUUAGAAUGCAGACACACGCACACACACCUCUCUUCACAUCUGAUACACUCAUACAAAUGAAAGGACUCGUAAACACUGCUCUGUGCCUUCCAUUUUUUAAGCUUACUAUAUAUUGUGGAAUUUUCAUGUUGCUAUAUAUACCAUUCCUUUUGUAUCAUUUUGGAUAUUCUUUUUAAUGGUUUCAAUGUAUCUCAUUAUAUAAAUGUACUACAAUUUAUAUCCAUGAUCACUAUUAAUGAACAUGUAGAUUGUUUCCAGUUUAGAGCAUUUAAUUUUUUUAAUUUCUUUUCCAAGCAAUACUGCAAUGAAUGUUGUUGGCCAUCCAUUGUUAACUGCAUGUGUGGGUGUGGCUGCAGAAAAAAAUUAUUUGCAGUGGAAUUUCUGAAUUAAAGGGUCUUUUAAAAGGUAUUGACCUUUUGCCAAAUUGACCUUCAAAGUUAUGCCAAUUUAUACUCCCAUUACCACUGUGUGAAUAUCUGUUUCCUCAAAAUCUUGCCCAAACCAUGUUUUGUAAUCUCUUUAAUUGUCACCAAUCAGUUAGGUAAAAAUAAAACAAUACCUUGCCGUUUUAGUUUGCAUUGAUUAAAUCAUCGAGUAAGGUUAGGCUUCUAUUCGUAUCAUUCUAAGCAAUUCGUAUUUACUUUUCUGAACCAAGCACAUAAUAUGUGCACAAUAAAUAUUUGUUGAACAACUAAAUAUACUGUCUGUGCAGUUGUUCCUUUUAUUAUUAGUGUGAAUGGAUUCUUCAUAGAGUAAAAAAAUAAUACCCUUUAAUACAGUUACUGCAAGUAUUUAUUUCCCCAUUUGCUAUUUGUCUUUUAAUUUUGUUUAUGGAUUUUUUAGGGGGAGGCAUU
This 8420-nucleotide long non-coding RNA is filed under the name Equus caballus (horse). RNAcentral's name for it is "lncRNA (ENSECAG00000059083.1)". Lineage: Eukaryota; Metazoa; Chordata; Mammalia; Perissodactyla; Equidae. The record is from RNAcentral.